CGAAGGGGGCUAGCGUUGUUCGGAAUUACUGGGCGUAAAGCGCGUGUAGGCGGUUGUCCAAGUUGGAUGUGAAAGCCUUGAGCUUAACUCAAGAAAUGCAUUCAGGACUGGAUGACUAGAGGACCGGAGAGGAUAGUGGAAUUCCCAGUGUAGUGGUGAAAUACGUAGAGAUUGGGAAGAACACCAGUGGCGAAGGCGGCUAUCUGGACGGUUUCUGACGCUAAGACGCGAAAGCGUGGGGAGCAAACAGGAUUAGAUACCCUGGUAGUCCACGCCGUAAACGAUGGGUGCUAGACGUUGGCGAGCUUGCUCGUCAGUGUCGCAGCUAACGCGUUAAGCACCCCGCCUGGGGAGUACGGCCGCAAGGUUG
Molecule: ribosomal RNA, 370 nt
Filed under: uncultured organism
Description: bacterial SSU rRNA
Rfam family: Bacterial small subunit ribosomal RNA
Source: RNAcentral